Molecule: non-coding RNA, 31 nt
Filed under: Mus musculus (house mouse)
Lineage: Eukaryota; Metazoa; Chordata; Mammalia; Rodentia; Muridae
Source: RNAcentral
UAAGAAGGGUCCUUUUGACUUAUAGGGUUGG